UGGUAGUUCACAAACUAUAUUUAUUAAUAUCAUCAAAUGUACCUGAAUUUAAAACAAAAUAUUAGACUUUAUUUUUCUAUCUAGAGCUAAAGCUUUGUUUUACAAUAUCAAUGCAAUUUUCCAGAUUUCGGGAAAAGCAUUUCAGUUUUGUAUCUCUCUGCUACAAAUGUCUAUAACAAGCUUCAAGAUUCAAUAAUUUUAGAACCUAAGUAUGAUGCAGAACUUUAGUAAAAACACUCACCUGUGGAAUCAUUGUUGUAAGCAAGGUAAUUUCUUCCUUCCGUCCUUCUUUCCUCCCUCCCUCUCUCUUCCUCCCUUCCCUCGUCUUUUUUUUUUUUUUUUUUUUGGCUUUUUAGGGCCACACCUGAGGCACAUGGAAGUCCCCAGGUCGUAUCAGAGCCACAGCUGCUGGCCUACACCGUAGCCACAACAACACAGGAUCUAAGCCACCUCUGCAACCUACACCACAGCUCAUGGCAAUGCCAGAUCCUUAACCCACUGAGUGAGGCCAGGGAUCGAACCCACAUCCCCAUGGGUAUUAGUUGGAUUAGCUUCCACUGUGCCACAAAAGGAACUCCAGCAAUGCGUAAUUUCAACUUUACUAAAGUAAUGAAAAGUUUUUUUUUCAAGAUUUUUGCCUAUCCUUGGUAUUAUAUGAUUGUAUAAAAUGGUAUCUAAUUGUACUUGAAUUUCCUUGGCGACUUAGAGACCUAAAACAUUUUUGUGUUAAUUGACUUUUUGAUCUUCUUCGUAUAUAAUUUUUUCCCCUAAGUCAGCCUUUAUAUAAUCUGGACACUUCAAUUGCCAGUUACUGGUAGAUACAUUCAAGUACGCUGCCUUUUCAUAUUUAAAUUUCUAAAUUUAAUACAAUCAGAUGCAUUAACCUUUUUAUGGUUCACUUUGUGUGUGUGUCACAGUCAACUUCUUUCUUGCACUAAAUCAUAAUAUUUUUCUGUAUGUCUUUCUCUCUUUUCUCUUUCUGGCUGACCCACAAUACAUGGAGUUCCUGGGCCAGACAUCAGAUUGGAGCGGCAGCUGCAACCCAAUGCCGAACUUGCGGCAAUAGUAUCCUUCAACCCACUGUGCCAGGCUGGGGAUCAAACCUGCAUCCUGGCGCUGCAGAGACACCACGGAUUCCACUGUGGCACAGCGGGAACUCCCUGUAUAUCUUUCUAAAAUAGUUUAAGAUAGUUCUCAAUCCACAAAGUUUUUUGCAUAUGGUGUGAGAAAGGUGUAUGAUGUACUUUCCCCCCACACGGACAUGAGACUGUCCUGAUGUCAUUUAUUGAAGACUCCUUCAUUUUCUCCACUGUCACAUCAAGUUCUCGUACAUCUGUAUACCAGAGAUCUAUACAUCCAUCCUUGCACCCCUACGGCGGCUUUAUUACUGAAACUGUUUUAAGUCCUGCUAUUUUGUAGGAUAGAUGCCCCCCCCUCCCCGCUACUAAGAUCCCUUCUUAAAAAACCACCUUGGCUCUUUGUCUUUCCACAUUAAGUUAGAUUUAUUGAAUUCCAUGAAAAACUCUGUUGAGAAUUUGUUUGGAACUUCAGUGAAUUUAUAGAUUACUUUGGCAAGAACUAAUACUUUAAUAUUGCUUGCUCCAUUUAUUGUGGUCUGCUUUUAUAAAAUUCUUGCACAUUUACUAGGUGUAUUACUAGGUGCCUUGUAGUUUUUACUGUGAAUGAAACUGUUUUAAAAGACUAUGCUUUUAAAUAGACUGUUUUGCGUGAAAAGGAGCAUUACUGACUCUUGCACCUUGGUCUUACAUCCUCAGACCCUCAACUUCCAUAUUCGUUAUAAUACUUUGUAGUUUACCUUGGACUUGCAGGUAAACAAUUAUCUUGCCCCUUAAUAACAAUUGUUUCUUACUUUCCAACCCUUAUGGUUAUUUUGUCUUCUAAUCUUAUCGCACUGGCCAAGAUAUCAGUGCAAUGUAGAACAGAUGCACAGUAGCCAUUCUUUUUUAUUUUUUUAAUGCUUGCACCUGUGGGAUAUGGACGUUCCUGGGCUAGGGGUUGAAUCAGAGCUACAGUUGCAGGCCUAUGUCACAGUCACGGCAACGCCGGCUCCUAGCCGCAUCUGCAAACUACAGUGCAGCUUGCUCAAUGCCGGAUCUAUAACCUACUGAGUGAGGCCAGGAAUUGAACCUGAUUGAACACAGUGUCAGACUGAUUCUUAACCCUCUGAGCCACAAAAGGAACUUCCCACAAUAGCCAUUCUUGUUCUGUUGUUGACUUUAAAGAAACAUCUCUGAAGUUAUACCACUGUCAUGCUAACUGUAAGUUUUUAGUAAGUUAUCAUUUAUCAUACUAAAGAAGCUUCUGUCUAUAUGUAAUCUACCAAGAAGAUGUUUCAUUUAAAAUGAGUGUGUUGCAUUCUGUUGAUUUGUUUCCUCCUGCAAUCACUGAGUUGGUAAUAUAGCUUUUCUCUUUAACCUAUUUAAUAUGGCAUAUUGCAUGAAAAGAUUUUAUGCCAUUCUCCCAUUCUGGCAAUAAAUUUUAUUUCAUUUUUUUUGGGGGGGCUUUUUGGGGCCGCGCCCACAGCAUGUGGCGUUUCCCAGGCUAGGGGUCUAAUCGGAGCUGUAGCUGCCGGCCUAGCCACAGCCACAGCCACGUGGGAUCCGAGGCAUCUGCAACCUACACCACGGCUCAUGGCAACGCAGGAUCCUUAUCCCACUGACAGAGGCCAGGGAUCAAACCCGCAACCUCAUGGUUCCUAGUCGGAUUCGUUUCCACUGUGCCACAACGGGAGCUCCAACAAAUUUUAUUUUAAAAGAAAUAAACACAUUCAUCUUUUAAAUGGAUGCAUUUUAAUUGGUGAAUCUGAAAUGCUACUAUCCUGGCUAGUCUGGCCACGUCCACAGAGUGACUGGACUACAUUACUUCUCCCUGCACAUGUACCCUAUGUGACUUUAAUAUCACAGUUGAGUUCCCCUCCCCUUUUAAAAAACUCUCUACUAACAGUAUUUAUAAAGAUUGUUUCUUGAAGGUUUAACAGACCACACUAUAAACCAUCUAGAUCUGGUGGAUUACUUGGGAGUAGAUUUUUAAAAAGAUUCAAAUGCAGUGCUAUUUUAUAAACAUACAUUGAUCCAUAUUUUUAAAAUAUCUAAAAUUUCAAAUUUAUCCACAUAAAUUCGCAACAGCUUUGCCAUUAAAAAGCUUAACUACAUCCUUACUCUUAACUUACUUCUUUUUUCAUAUCAAGGUGUCUUUUUUAUUUGGCUGCACCCACAGCACAGAUGUGGCAAUGCCAGAUUCUUACCCUGCUAUGCCAGAGUUGAACUUGUCUUUUUUCAUUGGAAAAAAGAUCUGCCAGGAUAGGGACAACCUCUAUCAUGAUUUCAUCAUCGCAGAUUAGCUGAAAACCUUUUCCCCUUUAUGCUUUUAUGUCCUUUGUUGCCUAUCCCAAAAUAUAAUCUCCUGUUUCAUUUAUUUCCCCUUUCACAGUUAGGCUAUAUUCCAUAUGGAACUGACUUUUCUGUCUUGUGUGAGGGAGGGGGUCUAGAUAAUUUUUUAUUGGAAAGACCAUCAUUUCAUCCAUCGCAAUGGUGUCCAUCAGUUCUAAGUCAGACGAUCUGUGUUUGCAGAUCUGUGCCUACGCAUCCUGUAACAUUGGUCUAUUUGUCUAUCCUUGCGCCAACCAACUUUACAGUCACAGCUAGAUAACAAUCUAAGCAUUUAUUUACAUGUUUUCAAGUUUCUCUCAAGGUUAUGAUUUUCUUUCAAAGAUUUAUCUUUAGGUAUCUGAUAUUUUAUGCGAGGGUAAACUGCAUCAUUUUAACGAUUUCAAUUUCUAUUUGUUUCUGAUAUAAAUACAAUUGGUUUUUGUAUACUUUGUAUCCAGCGACCUUGAUAAAUUAUUUUGUUCAUAGAUUCUUUUGCACUUUCUAUGCACAAUGCUGGCUGUCUAUCAAUAGUGUUAUUUCCUCCUUUCAAAACUGAUGCCUUUACUUCAGGCCUUAUUUUACUGGUUAGGAUUUCAAAUAUAAUGUUAAACAGUAAUGGUUGUUGUUAUUGUACUUCAAAGAUCUGACUUGUUGGCUUUGUUGAUCUUCUCAUAAAUAAACUAUGUUAUUUCAUUCACUUCCGAUCUUUUAUUUUUCCUUAUUCUUUUUCUAGCUUCCUGAAAAUAGGAGUUUAGGUCACUGAUUUUCAGCCUUGCUGCUUCUUUUUUUUUCUUUGCCACAUAGUGCAGUGGCUUGAUAUGGAAUCUCAGUUCCCAGACCUGGGAUAGAACCAGGGCCGCAGCGGUAAAAGCUCCAAAUCCCAACCACUACAUCGUCAGGGAACAUCCCACUUGCUUCUUUUUUAAUAUAUGUACUUAAUGCUAGAAAUUUCCCUACAUACAUUGCUUCAGCUGCAACAAAUUUUGGUAUCUUUGUUACUCUUCACUCAAAACAUUAAAAAAACAUUUUUUUGACCCAGAGUGUUUCAAAACGUACUACAUCAUUUCCAAGCAGUUGGGUUUUUUUGGGGGGGGGCGCGGGGGCAGGAGUUGCCUGCAGUAUGUGGAACUUCCCAGGACAGGGAUGGGAGCUGGGCCACAGCAGCAACCUGGGAUGCUGCAAUGCCAAUGCCAGAUCCUUAACCUGCUGUGCCACAAAAGAACUCCAGUUGGGAGUUUCUUUAGCCAUCUUUUUGUUAUUGGUUUCCAGCUUAAUUCCAGUGUUAGGAAAUAAAGAAUGAAGGCUCUUGAUCUGUUGCAAUUUGUAGUCUGGUUUGCAUUAUGACUCAGCA
RNAcentral lists this long non-coding RNA (4740 nucleotides) under Sus scrofa (pig). Its description in RNAcentral is "lncRNA (ENSSSCG00065076377.1)". Lineage: Eukaryota; Metazoa; Chordata; Mammalia; Artiodactyla; Suidae. The record is from RNAcentral.